This 400-nucleotide ribosomal RNA is filed under the name uncultured bacterium. Its description in RNAcentral is "bacterial SSU rRNA". It matches the Rfam family "Bacterial small subunit ribosomal RNA", at positions 355 to 767 of the family's 1533-position model. The record is from RNAcentral.
UGGGGAAUAUUGCGCAAUGGGCGAAAGCCUGACGCAGCGACGCCGCGUGGGGGAUGACGGCCUUCGGGUUGUAAACCUCUUUCAGCAGGGACGAAGCGAAAGUGACGGUACCUGAAGAAGAAGCACCGGCCAACUACGUGCCAGCAGCCGCGGUAAUACGUAGGGUGCAAGCGUUGUCCGGAAUUAUUGGGCGUAAAGAGCUCGUAGGCGGUUCGUCGCGUCGGCUGUGAAAUCCCGAGGCUCAACCUCGGGUCUGCAGUCGAUACGGGCGGACUUGAGUUCGGCAGGGGAGACUGGAAUUCCUGGUGUAGCGGUGAAAUGCGCAGAUAUCAGGAGGAACACCGGUGGCGAAGGCGGGUCUCUGGGCCGAAACUGACGCUGAGGAGCGAAAGCGUGGGGA